ACGGUGAUCCGGACGGUGAUCCGGACGGCGAUCCGGACGCCGCGGGCGCCGGGUUCCGGUCCCGGUCACCGUCC
This 74-nucleotide transfer RNA is filed under the name Pimelobacter simplex. Its description in RNAcentral is "tRNA-Arg". The record is from RNAcentral. Lineage: Bacteria; Bacillati; Actinomycetota; Actinomycetes; Propionibacteriales; Nocardioidaceae.